This 2773-nucleotide small RNA is filed under the name Pongo abelii (Sumatran orangutan). Its description in RNAcentral is "retained intron". Lineage: Eukaryota; Metazoa; Chordata; Mammalia; Primates; Hominidae. The record is from RNAcentral.
CAUCCUGCAGGGACUAGAAAGCUGUCUGGGAGGAGUUGUGUUUGUGCCUGGGUGUUUGCCACUGCUUGGGGUAGUGGGUGUGUGUUUGGAGUUGGAGAGAAGAUGAUCUGUAUGAAUAUCUAUAUUUGGAUGUGAGUGGUUCUAUGGUUUUGUUUCCAGGGGGGAUUGCCCGUGUGUGGAGAGACUCUAUAUGUUUGUUUACGAUUGUAUGUGUUUUCCUGUGUUGGCAUGUUCUGCAUUUGUGUGCAUUCUGGUGAGAGACUGGAGGUGGUGUGAGGGGCAGGGGGCAUAUGCACACUUGUGUGUGUCUGAGUGUGUCUGGAUGCUGGUGCCCCCACCUACAUUUGUGUUCUGUUCCUGGAACAGCGCCAUGGGGCAAGCGUGGCUGGAAGAUGUUCCACACCUUACUGCGAGGGAUGGUUCUCUACUUCCUGAAGGUAGGAAAGGAGCCAACACCCCUGUCAGAAUGGGAGACUGAGAGAGGCCCAGAACUGUCUGGAGGGUGGGCAGCUGAUGAUAACCUCUUCUCUGAGCCCCUGUGACUGGUAGCAGGGAGAAGACCACUGCCUGGAGGGGGAGAGCUUGGUGGGGCAGAUGGUGGAUGAGCCCGUGGGGGUGCACCACUCGCUGGCCACCCCUGCCACCGAUUACACCAAGAAGCCGCACGUCUUCCAACUGCGCACGGCUGACUGGCGCCUCUACCUCUUCCAGGCACCCACUGCCAAGGAGAUGAGCUCCUGGAUCGCGCGCAUCAACUUGGCUGCGGCCACGCACUCCGCGCCGCCCUUCCCCGCCGCUGUGGGCUCCCAGCGCAGAUUCGUGCGGCCCAUCCUGCCCGUGGGACCCGCCCAGAGCUCCCUGGAGGAGCAGCAUCGAUCCCACGAGAACUGCCUGGACGCUGCCUCGGACGACCUGCUGGAUCUGCAGAGGAACUUACCGGAGCGGCGGGGCCGUAGCCGCGAGCUGGAAGAGUAUCGCCUGCGGAAGGAGUAUCUGGAGUACGAGAAAACCCGCUACGAGACCUACGUGCAGCUGCUGGUGGCCCGCCUGCACUGCCCCUCUGAUGCUCUGGACCUGUGGGAGGAGCAGCUGGGGAGGGAAGCUGGAGGCGCUCGGGAGCCCAAGCUCAGCCUGAAGAAGUCCCACUCGAGCCCGUCCCUGCACCAGGAUGAGGCUCCCACCACGGCCAAGGUGAAGCGCAACAUCUCAGAGCGCAGAACCUACCGGAAGAUCAUCCCCAAGCGGAACCGCAAUCAGCUGUGAAGCCAGCACCACCUCAGAGACACUGCCCCCUGCUCCAGGGUAGACCUGGGAUGAACCUCCCUGGAGGAGACUUAUUUCAAUGAGUCCACCGUGAUGGAUGAGGCACCUCCUUUCCCUGCUGAAGAACAAACCUCGUUUCCCUGUGGCCCUCAUUCUUGUGUCCACUGAAGCUUUCCUAAUACUGCUGUACUCCCCCCCCACCCCCAUGGCAGUCCCUCCGCAGCCCCAUCCCUGGCCACACCCAAGGGAAGAGGGAGGUUGAGGACUUGACUUUCCUGCCAGAGCUCAUCCCAUGUCACCCUCCAGGCCCCAGAAUCCAGAGUGGCCUCAUUUCCUAGACCUGGGAGCUCAGCACUUGUUUGAGAACCAGUGCAUAUGUGGUGUGGCCUUGAAUUCUGGGGGAGAGCUUGGGGCAGCAGAGGCCCCUGGGCAGCCCAGCCAAGGGAGCCACAGCCCCGAGGAUGGUCUUGCUCUGGGAAGUAGGUGACCUUCCUGGGGAGGCCCCAGGAGAGUGAAUCAGGGACUCUUGAGAAAUUCCUAACCAGCCUCCUGUGACCCAGGGAGCAGGGUCGCUAAGGUCCUGCCCACCGAGGGGACAGCCUUCUGGGCAGGGACCUCGGGGGUCUUCAAGGGCUCCGCACGGCUGUGGGGCCCUGUGCCUUUGUCUCCUUGUGUAUCUUUUCCCCCUACAGUCUUCCUUUCCCCCGAAGCAGAUGAAACAGUCUCACAUAUCCAGCUGCUCAUCAACAGAGCAGAGCUGAGGCAUGAGUGAGGGCUGGGAGGGGUGGGGCCUCCAGAGCUUUGCAGGGAACCCUGGAACCCUGGGAACAAAGAGUCUUUGUUCCAACACAGCAGGGAAGGAGGUUCUCUAGGUUCAGACCACUGGAGAGGAUAGAGAGGUGAAAGGUGGCGACAGUUUCCCUUAGGGGUCUGCCUGGCAGGAGCCACAGGUCAGGAGAGUUGUGAGGGAUGGGAUGGAGGCUGGCGACCAGGUAAGGCCUAGGCCACGCUCGGAAGACUCUACUGUGCUCCUUCCUACACACGCCUUAAAGCUUCCUUCCUGUGGGAUGCCUGGACCCCUUCCCCAUCUCUGGCAGGUCAGAGGGUCUCUGCUGCUCUUCCCUGGGAAAUCCCCUCGUCCUGCCCUCUGGCUGCCUCCCAACUGGGCUUGUUCUCUGAGGGAGGUUCCAGAGACUCAUGGACUUGGGGCUCUGCCUGUAGGAAGGAGGCUGGGCCAGAGGGAGCAGCCACCAUUGUCUCUGUUCAGCCAAGUGUGCAAGUAGGCUGCCCGCCAAGAGGGGGCCUCUGCUACCCGCUGCUGCCUGCCGGCUGACGCACUGCCUCCCCAGCCUUCCUGCUAGGCCACCCUCCUCCCUUCCCAUGCUUGUAACCAGCUCUGGGGCCUGGACCUCCACAAAGUGGCUGGCCCUUGGAGGCCACAUUUGGGUCUCCGGCCAGGGCCUGGGGCUAGGCCAUGCACCCAAUGGGUGCACAAUAAAUACAGGUCAAC